GACGAACGCUGGCGGCGUGCUUAACACAUGCAAGUCGAACGGAAAGGCCCUGCUUUUGUGGGGUGCUCGAGUGGCGAACGGGUGAGUAACACGUGAGUAACCUGCCCUUGACUUUGGGAUAACUUCAGGAAACUGGGGCUAAUACCGGAUAGGAGCUCCUGCUGCAUGGUGGGGGUUGGAAAGUUUCGGCGGUUGGGGAUGGACUCGCGGCUUAUCAGCUUGUUGGUGGGGUAGUGGCUUACCAAGGCUUUGACGGGUAGCCGGCCUGAGAGGGUGACCGGCCACAUUGGGAUUGGGAUACGGCCCAGACUCCUACGGGAGGCAGCAGUGGGGAAUAUUGCACAAUGGGCGGAAGCCUGAUGCAGCAACGCCGCGUGCGGGAUGACGGCCUGCGGGUUGUAAACCGCUUUCGCCUGUGACGAAGCGUGAGUGACGGUAAUGGGUAAAGAAGCACCGGCUAACUACGUG
This 468-nucleotide ribosomal RNA is filed under the name uncultured bacterium. RNAcentral describes it as "partial 16S ribosomal RNA". It matches the Rfam family "Bacterial small subunit ribosomal RNA", at positions 28 to 507 of the family's 1533-position model. The record is from RNAcentral.